UUUCCGUAGGUGAACCUGCGGAAGGACCAUUAAUGAGUUGUCAUGGGGUUCGAUGCUGGCAGCCAAUUUUUGGAUGCAUGUGCUUGCCCUAACAAUCAUCUUCCAAACACCUGUGCACAUUUUUGAGGGAGUCUUGAGUUGGUUGCCGCUCUUGGGUGAUUUUCUCUCAUUCCCUUAAAUCAUUAUACGCUAUUAACAAUGUUGAAUGCGCUCUGUGCCGCAAGGCUAUUAAUAUAAUACAACUUUUAACAACGGAUCUCUUGGCUCUC
This 269-nucleotide unclassified non-coding RNA is filed under the name plant metagenome. RNAcentral's name for it is "partial contains small subunit ribosomal RNA, internal transcribed spacer 1, and 5.8S ribosomal RNA". The record is from RNAcentral.